CGUCUGGACACUUCUUAUUCACGAUACCUUCAUAUUCUCCCACAUAAACCUCAUGGAUACGUCUAAUCCUGUAAGUCGUUGUUUGUGACCGAGCCGAUGACAGCACCUACGAUGACCUCAUGACUUCAGGUGGCUUUAAAUCCCUGUUAAAAAGGAGCAUAAACCUCAGUGUUUAGGACUAAUAUGAGUCGGGUUUAGGGUUUUACUCAUCCGCUAUUCCUGGGGAAAGGGAUUCUGCACAGGAAAAAACAACAGUCCGGCAGACAAGGGUCCAUUCAUCCAGGCCACAACAUUAAUCAGACACAAACAAAGCGUGAACUAAUACACCUGGAUUAGCAUGCACAAGUCAUUAGCAUGAGAUAGCUCUGCAGGCCCAAUAAAAGACCGCUGGAGAACCCAGACCAGUACAGAAGAUCUGAAACCUCCUGAGGAUUCACACACUGAGAGACUACAACAAAAUGAAGUGCAUUGUUUUCAUCGCCUUCCUGGCUUCAGCAGCCUAUAUGACCUCAGCAAAG
Long non-coding RNA from Astyanax mexicanus (Mexican tetra), 518 nucleotides. RefSeq lists it as uncharacterized. Lineage: Eukaryota; Metazoa; Chordata; Actinopteri; Characiformes; Acestrorhamphidae. The record is from RefSeq and is a predicted model, not a curated record. The transcript is spliced from 3 exons.